GUCCACGCCGUAAACGAUGAUGACUAGCUGUCGGUGCGCUUAGCGUUCCGGUGGCGCAGCUAACGCGUUAAGUCAUCCGCCUGGGGAGUACGGCCGCAAGGUUAAAACUCAAAGAAAUUGACGGGGGGCCUGCACAAGCGGUGGAGCAUGUGGUUUAAUUCGAAAGCAACGCGCAGAACCUUACCAGCGUUUGACAUGGUAGGACGGUUUCCAGAGAUGGAUUCUUUCCCUUACGGGACCUACACACAGGUGCUGCAUGGCUGUCGU
Molecule: ribosomal RNA, 267 nt
Filed under: uncultured bacterium
Lineage: Bacteria
Description: partial 16S ribosomal RNA
Rfam family: Bacterial small subunit ribosomal RNA
Source: RNAcentral